This 254-nucleotide ribosomal RNA is filed under the name uncultured bacterium. Its description in RNAcentral is "partial 16S ribosomal RNA". It matches the Rfam family "Bacterial small subunit ribosomal RNA", at positions 524 to 776 of the family's 1533-position model. The record is from RNAcentral.
UACGGGGGGAGCAAGCGUUGUUCGGAUUUACUGGGCGUAAAGGGCGCGUAGGCGGUCAGCACAAGUCAGUUGUGAAAUCUCCGGGCUUAACUCGGAAAGGUCAACUGAUACUGUGCGACUAGAGUGCAGAAGGGGCAACUGGAAUUCUCGGUGUAGCGGUGAAAUGCGUAGAUAUCGAGAGGAACACUUGCGGCGAAGGCGGGUUGCUGGGCUGACACUGACGCUGAUGCGCGAAAGCCAGGGGAGCGAACGGG